RNAcentral lists this ribosomal RNA (468 nucleotides) under uncultured bacterium. RNAcentral's name for it is "partial 16S ribosomal RNA". It matches the Rfam family "Bacterial small subunit ribosomal RNA", at positions 28 to 507 of the family's 1533-position model. The record is from RNAcentral.
GACGAACGCUGGCGGCGUGCUUAACACAUGCAAGUCGAACGGAAAGGCCCUGCUUUUGUGGGGUGCUCGAGUGGCGAACGGGUGAGUAACACGUGAGUAACCUGCCCUUGACUUUGGGAUAACUUCAGGAAACUGGGGCUCAUACCGGAUAGGAUCUCCUGCUGCAUGGUGGGGGUUGGAAAGUUUCGGCGGUUGGGGAUGGACUCGCGGCUUAUCAGCUUGUUGGUGGGGUAGUGGCUUACCAAGGCUUUGACGGGUAGCCGGCCUGAGAGGGUGACCGGCCACAUUGGGACUGAGAUACGGCCCAGACUCCUACGGGAGGCAGCAGUGGGGAAUAUUGCACAAUGGGCGGAAGCCUGAUGCAGCAACGCCGCGUGCGGGAUGACGGCCUUCGGGUUGUAAACCGAUUUCGCCUGUGACGAAGCGUGAGUGACGGUAAUGGGUAAAGAAGCACCGGCUAACUACGUG